This 337-nucleotide unclassified non-coding RNA is filed under the name soil metagenome. RNAcentral describes it as "partial contains 5.8S ribosomal RNA, internal transcribed spacer 2, and large subunit ribosomal RNA". The stretch from base 1 to 120 matches the Rfam family "5.8S ribosomal RNA", at positions 35 to 154 of the family's 154-position model. The record is from RNAcentral.
GAUGAAGAACGCAGCGAAAUGCGAUAAGUAGUGUGAAUUGCAGAAUUCAGUGAAUCAUCGAAUCUUUGAACGCACAUUGCGCCCCAUGGUAUUCCGUGGGGCAUGCCUGUUCGAGCGUCAUUUACCCCCUCAAGCUCCGCUUGGUGUUGGGCGUCUGUCCCGCUUCGCGCGCGGACUCGCCCCAAAGGUAUUGGCAGCGGUCGUGCCAGCUUCUCGCGCAGCACAUUGCGCUUCUCGAGGCACCGGUGGGCCCGCGUCCAUCAAGCUCGCCCCCCCAGUUUGACCUCGGAUCAGGUAGGGAUACCCGCUGAACUUAAGCAUAUCAAUAAGCGGAGGA